UAUGGCCGUCACAGUCCCACUGUUGCACAGAUCCUGUCUCAGACCAAGCUGCGUUUAUGGUCAUGGAAGCACCAGUGCUAUAUUUACAUGGAGCUUUGGAUUCUAGGAAAAAAAUAAUUUACCAGCUGAGCUUAAAAUUGGAUGAUCCUGAUUUUAUUGGCAACAUCCGGAGCAUCACAAUCAGGAGCCACCAAAACAUACAUCUUAUUCUCUCCAUCAGGCCGUAUCAGGCUAUUGACUUUGGCCACAUGGAUGCCACAGAUGUUACAGAGUUUCUUCACAGGUUUACAGAGUUUCUUCACAAGGUUCUCUGAGCCAUGUUGGCUUGAACAUCCACGUAAGGGAUCAAAACCCUUAGGAAUGAUGGCCGCAUAUGAGAUCUCCCUGUCCACGACACCUGCCCUGAAGUGAAUGCGGAGCAGGUGAUAAGCUGUUUGAGCUUCCAAACUGGGUGCCUUGGAUGGACAGCCGGUAUCCACAGAGCCCACCGAUGACAGAAGAGCCACGCGACAUAGAAACAUUCACGGAUGCAGUCAAAUGAGUUUUGUUUCUUUUUCUUCUGUUGAUGGUAUCUUUCUAAUGAAGAAUGUUCGAGGAAGCAAAACGCAGAUUUGGCAACACACAUUAAUGACUCCUCCAGAAACAGACUAUGUUCUAGAGAUGCUCUGAGGAUCUUGGGCUUCAGACACAGCACAUCAUUAUCUGGACCAUGUCUACUUCCUGUUUCUUCAGAUACAAUAAUGGUUUUAUCUUAUGACUGGCUAUAUUUCACAGUUGGCAAAACCCUGCAAUAUAUAGGGGUCUUUCAACUGUCAUUAACUUGAAAACCUGCAAACUUGGACUUGAUCAACUCUGUGAGUGACCCACACACACACCCCAAGUGUGGGUUGUCAGUAAUACUAUGAACACUAGGGAAAACAGAACAAUGUGGAGCUCAAACUUUUUAAAGUAGAUUGGUUUCUUUGUUUCUUCCCUUUUCUUGUGAAAUUCUUGGGGGUUGGGCACAAAGUGCACGGACAAUAAUCUCUGGUUGAAGAGAGGACAAGUGACAGUUGUUUACUUGUGUUGUGGCAGCUCUUUGAAAAUGUGAUGUUUCAGCUUCUUAAAGAAAAAUGUA
Molecule: long non-coding RNA, 1117 nt
Organism: Apodemus sylvaticus (European woodmouse)
Lineage: Eukaryota; Metazoa; Chordata; Mammalia; Rodentia; Muridae
Exons: 4
Source: RefSeq, a predicted model, not a curated record